Molecule: ribosomal RNA, 377 nt
Filed under: Strombidiidae sp.
Lineage: Eukaryota; Ciliophora; Spirotrichea; Strombidiidae
Description: partial small subunit ribosomal RNA
Rfam family: Eukaryotic small subunit ribosomal RNA
Source: RNAcentral
AUUCCAGCUCCAAUAGCGUAUAUUAAAGUUGUUGCAGUUAAAAAGCUCGUAGUUGGAUUUCUGAUAGGGAGCCGAUCACCACUGUUGUGAGUGUUAGGUACCUGUCAUCCUUCUGUUAACCCCUGCGGCAUUCAUUUGUCGUUGGGCGGACCAGAUACUUUACCUUGAGAAAAUUAGAGUGUUUCAGGCAGGCCUAGCCGGAAUACAUUAGCAUGGAAUAAUGGAAUAGGACUAUAGUCUCGUCGUUGGUUACGUGGACUGCAGUAAUGAUUAAUAGGGAUGGUUGGGGGCGUUUAUAUUCCGUUGUCAGAGGUGAAAUUCUUGGAUUUACGGAAGAUAAACUACUGCGAAAGCAUUCGCCAAGGAUGUUUUCAUUA